AAGGAACUGCCUGCCUCCAGAGGGAAUCUCCACCUGCCUCUGGAUGAUACUUGUGGUUGUUUACAUAGUAGAGUCUCCAGACAAGACAAUGAGUGACAUUGUGCCAGCAGAACAAGACUGAACAAAGCCUUGCCUUCAUUCAUGGGAUUCCAAGAAUUCUCAUCAAAAUACUAACUAGGGCGAGAACUACUUCAUCUCCAAGUGCAGAGGCAGUCAGCCUGGCAUGGCCCCAUAUAACAAUACUAGAAAAUAAAAUGUAAGUGUCUUACUUCACUAUAAAGCUAAACUCCAUGAAA
Long non-coding RNA from Alligator sinensis (Chinese alligator), 296 nucleotides. RefSeq lists it as uncharacterized. Lineage: Eukaryota; Metazoa; Chordata; Crocodylia; Alligatoridae. The transcript has 3 exons. The record is from RefSeq and is a predicted model, not a curated record.